UACGAAGGGUGCAAGCGUUACUCGGAAUUACUGGGCGUAAAGCGUGCGUAGGUGGUUUGUUAAGUCUGAUGUGAAAGCCCUGGGCUCAACCUGGGAAUUGCAUUGGAUACUGGCAGGCUAGAGUGCGGUAGAGGGUAGUGGAAUUCCUGGUGUAGCGGUGGAAUGCGCAGAGAUCCGGAGGAACACCAAAGGCGAAGGCAGUGUCCUGGGGAGUACCUGACGCUCAGGUGCGAAAGCCAGGGGAGCGAACGGG
Molecule: ribosomal RNA, 253 nt
Filed under: uncultured bacterium
Lineage: Bacteria
Description: partial 16S ribosomal RNA
Rfam family: Bacterial small subunit ribosomal RNA
Source: RNAcentral